CCUACGGGAGGCAGCAGUGGGGAAUAUUGCACAAUGGGGGAAACCCUGAUGCAGCGACGCCGCGUGAGUGAAGAAGGAAUUCGGUAUGUAAAGCUCUAUCAGCAGGGAAGAAAAUGACGGUACCUGAGUAAGAAGCCCCGGCUAACUACGUGCCAGCAGCCGCGGUAAUACGCAGGGGGCAAGCGUUAUCCGGAUUUACUGGGUGUAAAGGGAGCGUAGACGGCAGUGCAAGUCUGGAGUGAAAGGCGGGGGCUCAACCCCCGGACUGCUCUGGAAACUGUACGGCUGGAGUGCAGGAGAGGUAAGUGGAAUUCCUGGUGUAGCGGUGAAAUGCGUAUAUAUUAGGAGGAACACCAGUGGCGAAGGCGGCUUACUGGACUGUAACUGACGUUGAGGCUCGAAAGCGUGGGGAGCAAACAGGAUUAGAUACCCUAGUAGUC
This 440-nucleotide ribosomal RNA is filed under the name uncultured bacterium. Its description in RNAcentral is "partial 16S ribosomal RNA". It matches the Rfam family "Bacterial small subunit ribosomal RNA", at positions 338 to 795 of the family's 1533-position model. The record is from RNAcentral.